GCCGUGGUGGUGGAAUGGUAUACACGGAGGUCUCAAAAACCUCUGGGCAAUUAGCCUGUGUGGGUUCGACUCCCACCCACGGCACCA
Molecule: transfer RNA, 87 nt
Filed under: Patescibacteria group bacterium
Lineage: Bacteria
Description: tRNA-Leu
Rfam family: tRNA
About the family: Transfer RNA (tRNA) molecules are approximately 80 nucleotides in length. Their secondary structure includes four short double-helical elements and three loops (D, anti-codon, and T loops).
Source: RNAcentral